RNAcentral lists this microRNA (26 nucleotides) under Haemonchus contortus (barber pole worm). RNAcentral's name for it is "hco-miR-5939". The record is from miRBase by way of RNAcentral. Lineage: Eukaryota; Metazoa; Nematoda; Chromadorea; Rhabditida; Trichostrongylidae.
UGCCGUGGUCGCCAUGUGUUGGAAUC